This 253-nucleotide ribosomal RNA is filed under the name uncultured bacterium. RNAcentral describes it as "partial 16S ribosomal RNA". It matches the Rfam family "Bacterial small subunit ribosomal RNA", at positions 524 to 776 of the family's 1533-position model. The record is from RNAcentral.
GACGUAGGGCGCGAGCGUUGUCCGGAUUUAUUGGGCGUAAAGAGCUCGUAGGCGGCUUGUUGCGUCGGCUGUGAAAACCCAUGGCUCAACCGUGGGCUUGCAGCCGAUACGGGCAGACUAGAGUUCGGUAGGGGAGACUGGAAUUCCUGGUGUAGCGGUGAAAUGCGCAGAUAUCAGGAGGAACACCGGUGGCGAAGGCGGGUCUCUGGGCCGAUACUGACGCUGAGGAGCGAAAGCGUGGGGAGCGAACAGG